RNAcentral lists this ribosomal RNA (470 nucleotides) under Aphyosemion ahli. Its description in RNAcentral is "partial 16S ribosomal RNA". It matches the Rfam family "Bacterial large subunit ribosomal RNA", at positions 1926 to 2551 of the family's 2925-position model. The record is from RNAcentral. Lineage: Eukaryota; Metazoa; Chordata; Actinopteri; Cyprinodontiformes; Nothobranchiidae.
AACGGCCGCGGUAUUUUGACCGUGCAAAGGUAGCGCAAUCACUUGUCUUUUAAAUAGAGACCUGUAUGAAUGGCAUAACGAGGGCUUAACUGUCUCCUUUUUCCUAUCAAUGAAAUUGAUCUCCCCGUGCAGAAGCGGGGAUUAAAACAUAAGACGAGAAGACCCUAUGGAGCUUAAGACGCAAGAACAGAACAUGUUAAUUCCUAUAGUCAAAAUAUGAAAUUCAUUGAGCCCUGUUCUAAUGUUUUUGGUUGGGGCGACCACGGAGUAUAAAAAAACCUCCACGAGGAAUAAAGAUACCUCUUUUCAUCUAAGGGUGACAACCCUAAGAACCAGAAAUUCUGACCACUCUGAUCCGGCAAAGCCGAUCAACGAACCGAGUUACCCUAGGGAUAACAGCGCAAUCCUCUUUUAGAGUCCAUAUCGACAAGAAGGUUUACGACCUCGAUGUUGGAUCAGGACAUCCUAAU